RNAcentral lists this ribosomal RNA (500 nucleotides) under uncultured bacterium. RNAcentral's name for it is "bacterial SSU rRNA". It matches the Rfam family "Bacterial small subunit ribosomal RNA", at positions 424 to 916 of the family's 1533-position model. The record is from RNAcentral.
UGUAAACUGCUUUUGUACGGAACGAAAAGUCUUGGGCUAAUACCCUGGGAUCAUGACGGUACCGUAAGAAUAAGCACCGGCUAACUACGUGCCAGCAGCCGCGGUAAUACGUAGGGUGCAAGCGUUAAUCGGAAUUACUGGGCGUAAAGCGUGCGCAGGCGGUUUUGUAAGACAGUGGUGAAAUCCCCGGGCUCAACCUGGGAACUGCCAUUGUGACUGCAAGGCUGGAGUGCGGCAGAGGGGGAUGGAAUUCCGCGUGUAGCAGUGAAAUGCGUAGAUAUGGGGGGGAAACACCGAUGGCGAAGGCAAUCCCCUGGGCCUGCACUGACGCUCAUGCACGAAAGCGUGGGGAGCAAACAGGAUUAGAUACCCUGGUAGUCCACGCCCUAAACGAUGUCAACUGGUUGUUGGGAAUUUAUUUUCUCAGUAACGAAGCUAACGCGUGAAGUUGACCGCCUGGGGAGUACGGCCGCAAGGUUAAAACUCAAAGGAAUUGACGG